Long non-coding RNA from Candoia aspera, 4372 nucleotides. RefSeq lists it as uncharacterized. Lineage: Eukaryota; Metazoa; Chordata; Lepidosauria; Squamata; Candoiidae. The transcript has 2 exons. The record is from RefSeq and is a predicted model, not a curated record.
GUCUGCCUAGCUUGUGCUGAGUUCCUGGGGUUCAGUUGAUCUGGUUUUUCUUUUUUUCUUCUUUUUCUGGGAAUGCCCAUGAAACCACUCUAAAACACAUUAGCAACCUUGGUUUCUAUUAAGGGUCAUUCGCUCUAUUUCUCUCUUUCCUUGACUAGAAUCAAAUAGGAAUAGAGCUGGUUGGGGGAGGAAAAAGAUAUGCAGUAGCUGGAUUACAUGCUAUCCUUCUAGGUAAUGAACCUGAGGUUUUGGCUUACACUAUUAAGUGCAGUUUAAACCUGGUGUUAAGACUUGGUUCCAGUGCAGUGAGAAUGGGAGUUUUGGCCCCCCCACCUUGAGAGAGGGUGGGAAGUCUCCAACCCACUUCACAGAAUUUGUCUUCAGUUCCCUGUGUGGUCUGGUGAUGGACAACUAUUUUCAUUCUUAUCAAAAUGAUCGAAUUUACAAUCAAUAAAAUGUAUACCCCAGUUUUCAUACAAAAGUUUUUUGGGCAUCUUGCAUAACAUAAAAAGUUUUAUGAAUGCCUUCCAACUAGGAUAUCUUUAACAUCAGUUUUUGGGAGACUUAUUUCAGUACACCAAAGUGUUUUGUAUGCUGGUCUUGAAGAGAGUGUUUUAAUGGCUCUGAUGAUAUUUGUGUUGAGCUGGAGAAGUGUCAAGAUAAUCUGGUUAGUUCCACGUUCGUUUAAUAAUUUCAGAUUAAAAAUCACAUCUCUCCGUGAAAACAUUAAUUCCAAAUGAAAAACAUCUGGGUUCAGAAUGGAGAGUUUUAGAGGGCUUUUUAACAUAUUAAAUAAAUAACAAACUUGUGAGGAUAAACCAAGUUUCUUUUGAAGCUAGGUUUUUUUCAUACUAAGUCAUCAGGAAAAUAAUUAUUCCUCUUUAUGCUGCAAGGAGUUUAUUUAUUUAUCACAUUUCUUCAUCGCCCAUCUCGGCAAACAACAUGCCACAAACUCAUUCUCUGUGGGAUGGUAUUAUGUAGUAAUAAAACUCAUGAGUGAUGGGGCCAUACUAUUUUGAUUGGAGACAAAAUUGGCUGUUGUAUUAUUUGGAAUGACUUGCCCAUCCUUUAAUCAAAGGCCAAGACUUGAUUUGAGCAAUUAUUUAAUAGCUCUGUCAAUGCUGCCUGGUUUCCUCUGACUUUCUAAGAAGUUUAUCCUCCUGCCUUGGUUGGUAGUAGUAAUCUAUUGAAUUGUACUUUGCUGAAAUCAGUAAUGCAUUUCUAAAUUGUAAAUUAAAACUCACAUGAGUGAAUUAACAUUCAGAUUUCUGGCUUGGUUUCCAGCUCUGCAUAAGUGCCUGUCUCUAAGACCAGCAUAUUUUAUCUCCUUUGAGUAAUUUAAGGCUACUUCAAAUAUGUGUUUCUUAUUGGCUGGGGACUCUGCAUAAGAAAACUGUGAAAUCUGCAGGUGGACUAUUGUCUGUGACAAACCACAUAAUGUGUUUACAGUUUCCUUAUCUGGAAGUGCUCUGUGUUCCACCUUCAUAAAUUUUAAAGUACCCUCACUCGGCCAAUGGGUACCCAGGGCUGGCAGAUGAUUCCUACAGAACUCAUUGUGCUAUUGUGUUUGUGUCAGUGCAAUGCAAAUGAAACAAAAGCGAAUGCACAAAAACACUUGUCUUACCAUCUGACCAAUUUACAGGCCAUGGGUUCUAACGAAGAAGGUUCAAAAAUAAUACAAUGAGUGUCAAAACUGCAACUUCAAGGUGCAGCUAAGGCUUCUGCCGGGUUACUAAGCAAAAGUUGAUGAUAAAGAGACUCUGUCUCACUUGUGCACUCUCCUCACAGAAUGGUCUCGCAAAGGUAAAUGAAUCCAUGCACCCAAAUUUCCACCAGUACUUUGUGAAAAGCAAAUUUGUAUUUUAAUGUCUGCUGAGUUACUAUUUCUAGAAAAACAUAGGUUGCCCACCCUGCAUGCCAGCCUCUCAGCCAGUUCAUAAAGACAUGUUGACUGUUUGGAUGUCCAAAGGGGACAGGGCUGCACUGUCAGCUCCUGGGUUUAUGACAUGUGUAGAGCCACUCCAGACUGGCACCGCAGGGGGCUUGUGCCGCAAACCUCCAGCAGGGUCUGAUGGAAACAGGCUGGGAUAGUACAGUUAUGAGGAUCUGCCCUUUGGGAGUUGUCAUUCUUCAAUGUGUUGUCAUGUCAAUCCAUUGAAGGCCUCCCCAUCAGCUGAUCUUGAAUUUUGCAUAUAAUUACUGCUGCAGAUAUCAGGCCAUUAUAAACUGCUAUGGAAUUCUUGGGGCUCCUUUUUAUCCCUUUUGAUUGGGGUGGAAAGAUGCCUUUAAUUUCUUCACAUCAGUUUACUUGGGCAGUUCCUUCCAGUUAGCCAACAUUUAUUAUUGGUAUAUGCAUUCAUAAUCAUUAAUAUUCCUGAAAUCAUUCACUGUUGUCGCUAGCUAGUAUUUCCCAGUUCUAGUACGUAUACUAGGAAUAAUUAUUUGUGUGUCACUUGGUCCUCAAGAAUAAAGAACUAAUAACUUUACAGGGAAACAUCCAGUAUUAAGUUUGGUAUCUGCAGCAGUCCAUGUCAGAAGUUAGCUCAGGUCCUUUACGCCAUUUUGUGUUUUUACAAUAUUGAAUCUCAGAAUGAUUUCUUGAUGUUACCAUGUGCUAAAAGUCUUGAACCCUGUUUCUCUCGGUCCACAGUUGAAAUCCAUCCCUGGAAAAGCAUAAGUAUUGGCCCAGGCAAGCGGGCCAAGUACCAGACACUGGUAAAAAUACCCAAACAAGUUUAAAAGCAAAAACUUAAGUGUGGCCCACUUGAUUAUUUCACCUGCCUCUUCAGCGCUUCUUCUAUGUUAGAAGCGAACCUGCAUCUGGACCCCUGCAGCACUCUUACUAUACCAGCUGUGAGGGACACAGCCUUGGACUUUGGGACUUGUGCCUUCUGCACAGUGGAGGCCUUUUUCUGUGGUUACAUUGUCUGUAAUGGUUUUUGUUGGCCUGUAAACAUUUAAUUUUUGUUUUGGGGAGGGGGCAGCAUAAUAUAUAGAUGAUAUCUGAAUCAGGGAUAUCUGUAGGUCCCAACGUUUCUAGGAAACUGAUAAUUAAAGGUCUCUGCUUCUUGUUGGGUCCUCUGAUCUUGGUUUGUAAUCUCUUAAUAGUGCUGAACACAUGCUAAUGGGGUUGCAUGGAUACUGAGGUGGCAGGCCUCCUUCUCUGAAACCAUCCUACUUGAGUGAUAAUGGACCUGGAGGCUUUUCCUUCAUUCUUGCUACUGUGGCUCAAACUUGGGAAAAGACAUUGGCAGAACCCUGUGCAGGAUAUGGCUCAGAGACAAGUUUUUCAAGUUUGUCUUUAAUUCUACAUAAUAACCACAGUGGGAUUAUUUCACUGGGACUGGGGCCUGGAAAUGAUGGGUUGGGUGGGUGUGGAAGUGUUUGUGCUGCCUCAGCUGGUGUUUUUGCCAGUGAGUUUAGUGUUUAAUUCAGUGCAGCUGUUCAGAGCUUGCAUUACUGCUGGCUGGGGAAAACAUUUGAACUAAUUCCCACAGUCUAGAAGUCAUUUAUGCAGAAGGCCUUUCACAUGUAGCUGGAGCUUGUAAUUGAUCUGCUUCCUGCCUAUUUUGGAAUAAAAGCUGGGAUUGUUUCAUGCAGUCUAAUUUUCAUCCUAUCCUGGGGAGGUAAGAGGCUAAAGUCAUUAAAGGGCAAUGUAACUAUGAUUCAAGGAUUGCCAGUAUGUUAACGCCAACUCUGACAGCUGCCUCAUGAAGUACUCCAGAACAUUGUUGAUAUUAGAAAUUGGGUAAACUGUUCUAAUGAAAUCAUGUGCCAAAUCAUGGAUGCAAAAAGUCUGUAUCUUAAGCUGUGUACAGUGCUAAGGGAAAUUUUCAGCUAAUCUGUAUCUAGUCAGCAGUUGGGUGGGAACCUGUAUUUGAAACCCCAAAGUGGUUUCCAGUGGGCCCAGCAGCUGAGCUCCUUUAACGUGCUGCCUUAUCAAAGUGAGCAGGUGUUGAGUGUUGACUAGCAAGCUUCUGGUACAUUGAUCUUAAAUGUGGGUGGAAAGGACACUGUUUCUAGUAGAAACUCCUGUAGGUCUUACAUGGAUUUAAAUUUUGCUGCUUACUGGCUGUCUGCCAUUGACUUAAAAACCAACCAGUGUUAUUGGCUACUGUUAAAUGCAGUUUGCUGCACAGCUUUGCUGUUGCCCAUCUGAGGGAAGAAAAAAAGAUUCUGAAGGUCCUGCUGUUUGAGGGCUCUCAGUUGGCCAUUGAAAAGCUGUUCUGUAGCUUGGUGGUGUGGGUGGGUGUGGGCUCCAGGCCGUGCAAAGUUACUGGUAAAGGGCUGUGACUGCACUUUGAGUUAAUGCUUCUACAGGUGAUGACCACAAGACACAGAGAAAUUAAAGCUGACGGCCUUGUUGAGCGUA